Anoplopoma fimbria (sablefish) is the source of this 1258-nucleotide long non-coding RNA. RefSeq lists it as uncharacterized. The record is from RefSeq and is a predicted model, not a curated record. Lineage: Eukaryota; Metazoa; Chordata; Actinopteri; Perciformes; Anoplopomatidae. The transcript has 5 exons.
AUGUAAAACAGCCAGCCAGGAAAGGAGCUUUUACCGUUACCCAACAGUGUUAAUAAAAACUCUUCUUCAGUAACAACCUGAAGCUGCACUAAAAGAAGAUUUAAACUUAAAGUUUUUAGCUUGUGCCUUUCAGGAAGCAGCUGCAGAGCCGGAGUAUCCACCGUCCCACUGAGCAUCCAGAGCAUCACAACGCAAAGAGAAAUACAAGAUGGCUGCUCUUAGAUUUGAAUACCCUGAAAGAUGUACUAGUGAUGCAAAAAAGAAAAAGUCCCGAGAAAAAGAACUGCAUGGCCACAAAGACACUCUCUAUUAUGAUAAAACGGCUGGAGAGAUAGAAACCAACCUGGUUUUCUACAGCACAAAUGUAGAAAUGAGUGUGCCGUCUUGUGAUUGGCUGUAUGUGAACAAGGCAGAGAGUAUAAAUGAAGAUGAAGUUGCCCCAGAGGUUUAUUCUCGUGCACAGACUUCAAAUCAGCCGACACCCGUUAACGCUGAACAUCACCGACGGCCGGAGUCGCCACAGAUACAGAAGCAGCUGCAGAGCCGGAGUAUCCACCGUCCCACUGAGCAUCCAGAGCAUCACAACGCAAAGAGAAAUACAAGAUGGCUGCUCGUAGAUUUGAAUACCCUGAAGAAUGUACUAAUGAUGCAAAAAAGAAAAAGUCCCAAAAUAGAGUACUGCUUAACAACGAAGAAACUCUCUUUUAUCAUGAAACGGCUGAUGAGAGAAAAACCAACCUGGUUUUCUACAGCACAAAAGUAGGAGAAUGGUUGGAUACAAUGAAAGGACAGUAUCCUAAUCUUCAUGAAACUCAACAAGAAAGGUCAAUCAAACUCAAGUCUUCCCGGGAAGGAACCAUAUUGUCUUAUCCUUCUGGAAAAGUUAUGGUACAUGGCGAUAGUCUAAUGCAGAGGUUUGAGAGAGAUUUUUCAGGGAUGAGAAUAAGUGUCCAAGAACGCAUCUUACCAGCAGAAGAGGCAAACACAGACGAAGCCAGAGGGCCCUCCCCAACUCAGCCCAUCCCAACUGAUCAGAUAAAAGAAAGGAUAAUAAAAAUUAAAAAAAUACAAAAAAAGGAAAGUAAAAUCAACUACACACUUUCCUCUGAUCUGUUAUAUGUUUCUCAUUUAAUGCAGAACGAAUCAUCACAAAAAUCAUCUGACUGUUUGAUUUUCACUCACGAUUUCUCCUGUAUUGUUUGUUUUAACAUUUCAUUUGGGAAGAAAAAUGAUUUUUCUGUAAAAUUAAAAAGACACU